UUACUAUUCCCUCCGUCCGGAAAUACUUGUCAUCAAAAUGAACAAAAGGAGAUGUAUCUAGACGUAUUUUAGUUCUAGAUACAUCCCUUUUUAUUCAUUUUGAUGAAAAGUAUUUUCGGACGGAGGGAGUACUUU
Molecule: non-coding RNA, 135 nt
Organism: Triticum aestivum (bread wheat)
Lineage: Eukaryota; Viridiplantae; Streptophyta; Magnoliopsida; Poales; Poaceae
Source: Rfam